Capsicum annuum is the source of this 1245-nucleotide long non-coding RNA. RefSeq lists it as uncharacterized. Lineage: Eukaryota; Viridiplantae; Streptophyta; Magnoliopsida; Solanales; Solanaceae. The record is from RefSeq and is a predicted model, not a curated record. The transcript is spliced from 2 exons.
AUAUACAAGAAAAACGUGACUCUUUGGCCUCCCAAAAACAUUGUCUUCCUUUAGUGUCUUUCCUUGCUUGUUUGUGUGAAUGUUCAUUGAUUCUUGUGGACUGUUUUAGCGGGGUUGAGGAUUGAGUUUAGCAUCACUUUUGAGUGUGUUAAGUUGUCCGCACACGUCUUAAAAUAGGCAUGUGACAAGAAGCAAUUAUCAAGCCCAGCCCUUCUUUUUCCAGUCACUAGUUUGUCUAUUGUAUUUGAGGACUUAUAACAUCAUUAUGAAAUUUCUUCAAGAAUAUCCUCAUGGGAUCAUAUAUAAUCUCCAUAAUCUUAAGCUAUGCUAAAAGUGGCAUGGACACAUCCAGAAUCUCAUUCUUCAUAAAGUUAUAAGAAUCUAGAUCUUAUGAACCAUGACAUGUAUUAUGAUACUACUUUCCAUGAGUCUCCAAUAACAUUAAUGAAUGAUGUAACUUAUCAAGUAUGAGCCUAAAAUGGCUAAUUCAUAAUUCAUAAUUCAUGAUCCUUAAAUGGCUAACUCGAGACAUUUGCAUAAAGCAGCUAACUUAUGAAUGCUAGUCAAGAAAGGCUAAAAACAGAACUUUAUGAGCCUAAUAAGGCUAACCUCUGAACAUGAAUUCAUAAAGAUACCAUCAUGAGCAUAAGGGAGUUAGUUAGCUGACCGUGAAGGCAUAGGUUCAAACGACAAAUGCCUGAAACUAUGUUUACCGACAUAGGAUAGAGAUCAUUCCACAAGUCAAAUGACUCUGUUUUUUUCAUUUUCCAGAAAAGGGACUAACCAUGGAUACUUGCUAGCAAAUUAUGUUAUGUCAUGUCCUAUGCCUGGCAAGGUAAAAGAUGACUUAGCUGAUCGGAUCUAGAUCAGACUCCAUGCACUCACACGGUGGUUUAUGAUGAUUCACUACUUUCUCCCCCAAAUAACUAAAGGAAUUAAUUUAUUUUACAUUACCAAUUAUUUUUUAGUUUAUGCUCUUGUCCCUUUUCAUCUUAUCAUGUUUUUAAUUGUACUUAUCAUCUUUGUAUUUUCAUGCUUUAUUACUUUCUUAUGUGGUUUUGCAUACCAAUACAUUCCACGUAUUGACCGUCUUGGAUGUUGCAUUAUUUUAUAAUGCAGCAUCUGAGACAUACGUUUGUAAUUUCAUGGAUUACUUGAUCCAAUCAAAUCAGCUGUUGGUGAGCUCUCCAUCUUUUCUGAAGGCAUUUCUUAUACUGUUACUGACUAGUUCUAUAUUUUGGAGUA